Molecule: ribosomal RNA, 122 nt
Organism: Lupinus angustifolius (narrow-leaved blue lupine)
Lineage: Eukaryota; Viridiplantae; Streptophyta; Magnoliopsida; Fabales; Fabaceae
Source: Rfam
CAAAAAAUACCAGCACUAAUGCAACGGAUCCCAUCAGCACUCCGCAGUUAAGCGUGCUGAGGUGAGAGUAGAACUAGGAUGGGUGAUGUGACGCCCCGAAAAAUACUUCUCAAAAACAUUGC